RNAcentral lists this transfer RNA (74 nucleotides) under Sphingobium sp. RNAcentral describes it as "tRNA-Thr". It matches the Rfam family "tRNA". Rfam says of the family: Transfer RNA (tRNA) molecules are approximately 80 nucleotides in length. Their secondary structure includes four short double-helical elements and three loops (D, anti-codon, and T loops). The record is from RNAcentral. Lineage: Bacteria; Pseudomonadati; Pseudomonadota; Alphaproteobacteria; Sphingomonadales; Sphingobiaceae.
GCCGGCGUAGCACAGUGGCCAUGCAGCGCACUUGUAAUGCGUCUACGGGAGUUCGAUUCUCUCCGCCGGCACCA